This 484-nucleotide ribosomal RNA is filed under the name uncultured bacterium. RNAcentral describes it as "partial 16S ribosomal RNA". It matches the Rfam family "Bacterial small subunit ribosomal RNA", at positions 30 to 507 of the family's 1533-position model. The record is from RNAcentral.
AUUGAACGCUGGCGGCAGGCCUAACACAUGCAAGUCGAGCGGAUGAAGGGAGCUUGCUCCUGGAUUCAGCGGCGGACGGGUGAGUAAUGCCUAGGAAUCUGCCUGGUAGUGGGGGAUAACGUCCGGAAACGGGCGCUAAUACCGCAUACGUCCUGAGGGAGCAAGUGGGGGAUCUUCGGACCUCACGCUAUCAGAUGAGCCUAGGUCGGAUUAGCUAGUUGGUGGGGUAAAGGCCUACCAAGGCGACGAUCCGUAACUGGUCUGAGAGGAUGAUCAGUCACACUGGAACUGAGACACGGUCCAGAGUCCUACGGGAGGCAGCAGUGGGGAAUAUUGGACAAAGGGCGAAAGCCUGAUCCAGCCAUGCCGCGUGUGUGAAGAAGGUCUUCGGAUUGUAAAGCACUUUAAGUUGGGAGGAAGGGCAGUAAGUUAAUACCUUGCUGUUUUGACGGUACCAACAGAAUAAGCACCGGCUAACUUCGUG